This 774-nucleotide ribosomal RNA is filed under the name uncultured Neocallimastigales. RNAcentral's name for it is "partial large subunit ribosomal RNA". It matches the Rfam family "Eukaryotic large subunit ribosomal RNA", at positions 18 to 643 of the family's 3401-position model. The record is from RNAcentral. Lineage: Eukaryota; Fungi; Neocallimastigomycota; Neocallimastigomycetes; Neocallimastigales.
UCAGACGAUGCGUCAUGCAUAUCAAUAAGCGGAGGAAAAGAAACUAACAAGGAUUCCCCUAGUAACGGCGAGUGAAGCGGGAAGAGCUCAAAUUUGGAAUCUUAAAGGGUUUCCCUUUACGAAUUGUAGUUUAAAGAAGUGUUUUCUGUUGAGGUUUUGGUAAAAGUUCUUUGGAAUAGGACAUCAUAGAGGGUGAGAAUCCCGUAUUUGACCUUUACUUUCAACUUUGUGAUACACUUUCAAAGAGUCGGAUUGUUUGGGAAUGCAGUCCAAAAUGGGUGGUAAAUUUCAUCUAAAGCUAAAUAUUGGCGAGAGACCGAUAGCGAACAAGUACCGUGAGGGAAAGAUGAAAAGAACUUUGAAAAGAGAGUUAAACAGUACGUGAAAUUGUCAAAAGGGAAGCGUUUGACACCAGUGUUGUUUUUCUGAAAAUCAAUUAAAGAACUGUUUAUGCUAAGCUGUUUAGACUUUAUCAGCUAUCUGUUUAGUUUUGAGCUUUUCUUUAAUGCACUUUUCAGUUAACAAGUCAACAUCAAUUUCUUUUGCUGUAAAAAAGCUUGAGGAAGGUGGCUUGAGAUUCGUCUUAAGUGUUUAUAGCCUCUUGCCUAUGCAGUCGGAGAGAUUGAGGUCUGCAGCGUAGAUCCUUCGGGGCUAAAUGCAUUUGUGCUAAGUUAUAGCAUUUUAUAGACAACUUGUUGACUAUGAUUUGUCUUGUAGCUUACUCGCUUAUGUUAUUUUACCUACGCUUAGGAUGUUGACACACGCGCGUGCUCG